UAAUACUCCAUAGUUCAUGGAAUCUGGAAUGAUCCAUGGAUGAAAGUUCCGGCGCUUAAGGAUCGGUCUGCGGCCUAUCAGGUCGUAGUGGGUGUAACGUACCUACUAGCCUAUGACGGGUAUGGGCCUUGAGAGAGGGAGCCCAGAGUUGGAUUCUGAGACACGAAUCCAGGCCCUACGGGGCGCAGCAGUCGCGAAAACUUCACAAUGGGGGCAACCCCGAUGAGGGAAUUCCUAAUGCUAGCACAUUUGUGUUAGCUUUUCUUUAGCGUAGAUAACUAGAGGAAUAAGGGCUGGGAAAGACGGGUGCCAGCCGCCGCGGUAAUACCUGCAGCCCAAGUGGUGGUCGAGUUUAUUGAGUCUAAAACGUUCGUAGCCGGUUCGGUAAAUCUUUGGGUAAAUCGGGGGGCUUAACCUUCCGACUUCCGAGGAGACUGCCGAACUUGGGACCGGGAGAGGCUAGAGGUACUUCUGGGGUAGGGGUAAAAUCCUGUAAUCCUAGAAGGACCAGCGGUGGCGAAGGCGUCUAGCUAGAACGGAUCCGACGGUGAGGGACGAAGCCCUGGGUCGCAAACGGGAUUAGAUACCCCGGUAGUCCAGGGUGUAAACGCUGCAGACUUGGUGU
This 625-nucleotide ribosomal RNA is filed under the name uncultured archaeon. RNAcentral describes it as "bacterial SSU rRNA". It matches the Rfam family "Archaeal small subunit ribosomal RNA", at positions 147 to 774 of the family's 1478-position model. The record is from RNAcentral.